GUCUACAGCCAUGCUACCCUGAACAAGCCUGAUCCUGUCUGAUCUCGGAAGCUAAGCAGGGUCGGGCCUGGUUAGUACCUGGAUAGGAGACCACCUAGGAAGCCCAGGUGCUGUAGGUG
Molecule: ribosomal RNA, 119 nt
Filed under: Pteropus alecto (black flying fox)
Lineage: Eukaryota; Metazoa; Chordata; Mammalia; Chiroptera; Pteropodidae
Source: RNAcentral